UUUCACCAAAAAUAUUUAAAUAUUUUUCUCUUCCAUAUUUUGAAUUAAAAUUAUUUUUUGGAUUAAUUUUGGUAAUUUUCAUGAAUUAAAUGUUUUUGUUUAUAUUUUUAAUUGUUUAAAAAUACUUCUGAAUUUUUAUAAAUUGUGAAUUUUUUUGUCUAAGGUCCUUUGACAUUGUUUGACCUAGGAUAAAUCCCUUAGCCAUUUAUUUGGUGUGUUAAAGGUAU
RNAcentral lists this long non-coding RNA (227 nucleotides) under Lathyrus oleraceus (garden pea). RNAcentral describes it as "Pisum sativum (pea) long non-coding RNA (PSAT_LNC015361)". Lineage: Eukaryota; Viridiplantae; Streptophyta; Magnoliopsida; Fabales; Fabaceae. The record is from RNAcentral.